RNAcentral lists this transfer RNA (63 nucleotides) under Bemisia tabaci. Its description in RNAcentral is "tRNA-Glu". The record is from RNAcentral. RNAcentral also lists the same sequence under 1 other name. Lineage: Eukaryota; Metazoa; Arthropoda; Insecta; Hemiptera; Aleyrodidae.
AAUUAUUUAGUUUAACAAAAACACUAUAUUUUCAGUAUAGAGAUAGAUAAACUUUAAUAAUUU